GUGGGUGUAGCUCAGCUGGUUAGAGCAUCGGGUUGUGGUCCCGAGGGUCGCGGGUUCAAAUCCCGUCACCCACC
This is a non-coding RNA of Deltaproteobacteria bacterium, 74 nucleotides long. NCBI's taxonomy places the organism in Bacteria, Pseudomonadati, Myxococcota, Myxococcia. The record is from Rfam.